Molecule: non-coding RNA, 21 nt
Filed under: Caenorhabditis elegans
Lineage: Eukaryota; Metazoa; Nematoda; Chromadorea; Rhabditida; Rhabditidae
Source: RNAcentral
UGUAUUUUACGAAAACUCAAA